Molecule: ribosomal RNA, 468 nt
Filed under: uncultured bacterium
Lineage: Bacteria
Description: partial 16S ribosomal RNA
Rfam family: Bacterial small subunit ribosomal RNA
Source: RNAcentral
GACGAACGCUGGCGGCGUGCUUAACACAUGCAAGUCGAACGGAAAGGCCCUGCUUUUGUGGGGUGCUCGAGUGGCGAACGGGUGAGUAACACGUGAGUAACCUGCCCUUGACUUUGGGAUAACUUCAGGAAACUGGGGCUAAUACCGGAUAGGAGCUCCUGCUGCAUGGUGGGGGUUGGAAAGUUUCGGCGGUUGGGGAUGGACUCGCGGCUUAUCAGCUUGUUGGUGGGGUAGUGGCUUACCAAGGCUUUGACGGGUAGCCGGCCUGAGAGGGUGACCGGCGACAUUGGGACUGAGAUACGGCCCAGACGCGUACGGGAGGCAGCAGUGGGGAAUAUUGCACAAUGGGCGGAAGCCUGAGGCAGCAACGCCGCGUGCGGGAUGACGGCCUUCGGGUUGUAAACCGCUUUCGCCGGUGACGAAGCGUGAGUGACGGUAAUGGGUAAAGAAGCACCGGCUAACUACGUG